Long non-coding RNA from Clupea harengus (Atlantic herring), 1575 nucleotides. NCBI's taxonomy places the organism in Eukaryota, Metazoa, Chordata, Actinopteri, Clupeiformes, Clupeidae. The record is from Ensembl.
UAAUACUUUUGUGAGUGUAUUGUUGAGUGUUUUCUUUGGAAAUGAUCAUGUGUGUGGUUCUAGGCUAAUUUGUGAUAUUACACUUUAAAGUGUUUGGUGGAGAUAAGUUUUCUUUUUGCUGUAUGUAAGUUUGUAAGAUAUGCUCUUCCUUUCUGCUCCUGAGGUCUUAUGACUGCAAUAUAAUAUUUCCCCUAUUAAUUUGUCCUAUUCUUGAUCAAAACUAGUUUGGUCAUAUGUCUGUUAGUCAUGUGUCUUUGACUGAAAUAAUGGGACUGCAUGUGUGACGCUAAAGGUUAUAUAUAAGAGCGCUGUUCACCUUAAAAGGAAGGUGUCAUCUGAAGUUGAAAACUCUCUAAGCCUAUUUCUCCGGAUAUUUCUGUAUAUGUAUUCCUGUUUGCCUUGUAUGAAGGGAACAAACUUUUCAAUUACGAAUUAAAAGAGCUAUCUCCAGUCUGCUUAAGAGAUAAAGAAACAAGAGUCAGAGAUACUCCUGUGUUAUUUUUCUGUGGGGUUGAGACAAACUUUUUACAAUGGGUAAAACACAGAUAAUUGUAGUCAUAAUUUAUGUAAUUAAAGAUUUCGCAUUACUGAGAUGCCUUGACCCGGAACCAGUAGGGGACUGAUCACCCCAGGGAAAUUCCCUGGCCUCAACCUCCUCACCAAACGAGUGAGACGGGGGCCCUCUGGUCGGGCUCGGGUUGACUCAGCAUUGCGAUCUCAAGAACAAAUAAUGAGAAGGUAAAAUGGAAAGUAAGAAUGAGAAGGUCAAUGGGAAGGUAAGAAGAAGAAGAAGAAGAAGAAGAAAGUGAGAAGGUAAAAUAGAAAGUAAUAAUGAGAAGGUAAAAUGGAAAGUAAGAAUAAGAAGGUCAGUGGGAAGUUAAGAAGAAGAAGAAAAAGAAAGUGAGGAAAGUGAAGUGUUAAAAUAGAAAGUAAGAAGAAAGAGACAUCUAAAAGCAAGUCUAAAAGAGUCUGAAACAGGAGAGAUAUUUAAAAAUACAGAUUAUGUUUCAAAAACAUGCCUUACAAACUUAUUAGGAAGAGAUGUGAUGUGGGUUGGGCAUUAGAAUUGUUCCAACAAUACAUGGGUUUUAGAAUAAAUUAAACAAUGGUGUGUCAAAGAAAUGGUGUCCCAAAAUAUUACUAUGUAUAGAAUUUACACUGUUUAGCCCCAAAAAGAUUUAAAGAGAAAUUGAAGCCUCUCACACUAACUACAUUAACCUAGACUGAUGCAUUGGACUAACACAUGCUGGGUGGGGGUUGAGUGCUGGCUCAAAAGAAUAUGCUGUUCCUCCAGAUAAGAAGAUCUGUAAACAACAUACCCUGGCGUUGUUAAGAUUUUUAGCAGAAACAAGGCCACAAAAUUAGCAGCUGUGGUCCAGUAAAGUAAAGCUAUCUUAAAAAAGCACCUCAGCCACAGACAAAGAAAUAAAUUAUGUAUUUUCUGAGAAACUAGAAAGAUUUUCUAUCUAACUUCUGUAGAUAAUGGAUUCCUAACCACGCGUUAGAAACACAAAUGUUGCAGAGUUUACUUAAUUCUCAGCCCAUGUCAGAAGGAGAUAUUAUUAAAAGGCCUGA